AGGUGUCCAAGCUUGAAGAGUUACAACAACAACAUUCAGCAGUACAAGAAGAUUUGAAAUCCACGCAAAGUACAUCAGAAGAAAGACGUUUAGAGCUUUUGCAAGUACAGUUAGAUUUUACACAGCAUAAAGAAUCUAAGGAGAGUGAAAUAAAUUCCAUGAAAGAAACAAAUACUAAAUUAGAAGAGAAGAAUGUGAGCACUGCUGAAAAACUCAAAGCAAAGAAACUGGAAUUAGAGACAUUGAAAGAGUCCCAUGAAGAGGUCAAACUGUUACUGUCACAAACUAACAAACAGGUGGAUGAAUACAAGUCCCAGUCAGAAGAACUGGAAAGUAAUCUUGAAAAGG
Ruditapes philippinarum (Manila clam) is the source of this 348-nucleotide long non-coding RNA. RefSeq lists it as uncharacterized. The transcript is spliced from 3 exons. The record is from RefSeq and is a predicted model, not a curated record. Lineage: Eukaryota; Metazoa; Mollusca; Bivalvia; Venerida; Veneridae.